UACGAGGGGGGCAAGCGUUGUUCGGAAUUACUGGGCGUAAAGGGUGCGUAGGCGGUGCUCUAAGUCGGAUGUGAAAACUCUGGGCUCAACCCAGAGCCUGCAUCCGAAACUGGAGUGCUAGAGUUCUGGAGGGGGUAGCGGAAUUCCUGGUGUAGCGGUGAAAUGCGUAGAUAUCAGGAGGAACACCGGUGGCGAAGGCGGCUCACUGGCCCGAUACUGACGCUGAGGCACGAAAGCGUGGGGAGCAAACAGG
Molecule: ribosomal RNA, 253 nt
Filed under: uncultured bacterium
Lineage: Bacteria
Description: partial 16S ribosomal RNA
Rfam family: Bacterial small subunit ribosomal RNA
Source: RNAcentral